This 490-nucleotide ribosomal RNA is filed under the name uncultured Gammaproteobacteria bacterium. RNAcentral's name for it is "bacterial SSU rRNA". It matches the Rfam family "Bacterial small subunit ribosomal RNA", at positions 30 to 509 of the family's 1533-position model. The record is from RNAcentral. Lineage: Bacteria; Pseudomonadati; Pseudomonadota; Gammaproteobacteria.
AUUGAACGCUGGCGGCAGGCUUAACACAUGCAAGUCGGGCGGAAACGAAGAUAGCUUGCUAUCAGGCGUCGAGCGGCGGACGGGUGAGUAACGCGUAGGAAUCUACCUAAUGGUGGGGGAUAGCCCGGGGAAACUCGGAUUAAUACCGCAUACACUCUACGGAGGAAAGCAGGGGCUCUUAGGACCUUGCGCCAAUAGAUGAGCCUGCGUGAGAUUAGCUAGUUGGUGAGGUAAUGGCUCACCAAGGCGACGAUCUCUAGCUGGUCUGAGAGGAUGAUCAGCCACACUGGGACUGAGACACGGCCCAGACUCCUACGGGAGGCAGCAGUGGGGAAUAUUGGACAAUGGGGGCAACCCUGAUCCAGCCAUGCCGCGUGUGUGAAGAAGGCCUUCGGGUUGUAAAGCACUUUCAGCGAGGAGGAAGGCUGUAUGGCUAAUACCCAUACAGAUUGACGUUACUCGCAGAAGAAGGACCGGCUAACUCCGUGCC